AUUUCUCUCACUUCUGAAAGUGAUUUUCAACUUGAUAUAUAUUUUAGUUUUAUGAAGUUAGAUACAAAUUUGAACCAAGACUCAUAUAUGAAUGUAUCCAAGUUUUUAAAUGAAAAGUAUUGCUCUGCAUGUAUCAUAAUGCUAUAGAUACAAGUCAUGUUUUAUUUUAGUUUCUACUUUGUGAGCAUAUUGGUAUUGCAAUACACCAUUACUGAUAUUGAUUACUCUGAACUAAGACUCUCAUAUAUGAAUGUAUCCAUUGUUGUAAGACUCUAUCCAUUAUUAUUUACUUUAAUUAGUAUAUCAAUAUCAAUUGAUAUGUCUUAAAUUGAUUUUUAAAUUGAUGUUCGUUUUAGUGAAGUAAGACUUUGUCUAUGAUUUUAAGUUGUAUUUUGCAAGUUGAUAUAUGCUUUAUGGAUCCCAUCAUUUGUCAUGAAUUGAUGCAUGUUUUAUUGAAUUGAUAUAUGUUCAAGAUUUUUAACUUGAUUUUCAAAACUGUCAACAUAGUGGCAAUAUGAUUAACUUCACUUUUUGGGAAAGCUAUGGAUCUAAGUUCCUAAAUUACUACAACCAAAACAAAAACUAUGGUGCUAUUGUCAUUAUCCUAACUCAAGCAAUGAUCAAGGAUGCACAAGUUUUCAAAGGAAGUGAUCGUGCAGCACUUUUGAAAUUAACCAAGUUGAUAAUUUGGGACGAAGCUCCAAUGGCUCACAAGUUUUAUUUUGAAGCAUUGGAUAGAACACUCAAAGACAUAAUGACCGGAUCUAAGUCUUCAUCAAAAAUAUUUGGAGGGAAAGUAAUUGUUUUCGGUGGUGAUUUUCGAUAAAUACUACCAGUUAUACCCAGAGGAAGCCGUUCUGAUAUAAUUCAUGCCACAAUUAAUUCUUCAUGCAUAUGAGAUCACUGUCAGGUGGUGAGACUCAAAAAGAACAUGUGGCUGCAACAGAAUGGUCAGAGUUCCAAUGAUCCGGAGUUUGAACAGUUUUCCAAAUGAAUACUGAAAGUUGGAGAUGGAAAAAUAUAUGAACCUAAUGAUAGUUAUGCAGAUAUUGAUAUCCCACCUGAAUUGUUGAUCUCUAAUUAUGAUGAUUCACUUCAAACCAUAGUUCCAAGUACAUAUCAAAACUUUUGGAUGAGUGAUCAGAAUGAAGGAAUAGGUAAAAAAAAUCAAAGAACAUGACUGCUCUUGCAAUUCUACAUAACUAUGCAGAAUUUUGUAUCAGCACACGAAUUUGUGUUUUUGUUUGUACUUAUGCUAUAGGUUAUUAAUAAUUGCUUGGAAUGCAAAAUUAUUAUGAUGAGCGUGCCUUCACAUGGUUCGUUUAGAACGGAGUCAUAGUACUUUUGAUCGAAGAGAGGUAAACACUGACCUGAGAUUCUUAUGAAUUAGAUAUAGUAUAAUGCUACUGUGAAGGAUUCUUUUGGUUGUUCCUGUAUUUGUACAGGCGAAUUCAAUUUGUGUGUGAUGUUUCAAACUGUUGAUAUGUUUAAUGUUUGCACGUGAAUUGGGAAUUAAGUGAGAAGAUUUUGAUGUCAUUAUCAAUACAGACACAUUAGUCAAUAUAUGUAUUGGAAGUCUAUUUCAUGA
Long non-coding RNA from Medicago truncatula (barrel medic), 1588 nucleotides. RefSeq lists it as uncharacterized. The record is from RefSeq and is a predicted model, not a curated record. Lineage: Eukaryota; Viridiplantae; Streptophyta; Magnoliopsida; Fabales; Fabaceae. The transcript is spliced from 2 exons.